RNAcentral lists this long non-coding RNA (300 nucleotides) under Vicia faba (fava bean). The record is from RNAcentral. Lineage: Eukaryota; Viridiplantae; Streptophyta; Magnoliopsida; Fabales; Fabaceae.
AUGCCAAAUAGUAAUCUUUUUGAAGCUCUUCAUAGAAAUAUAAAAGAUGAGAACGUUUAUUGGCAUUGGAAUCAGAGGUAUAAAUUGCAUUGGGAGCUGCAAGCAAUAGGGAUUUGCUAUUUGUACCACGAUUGUUCUCCACCUGUUAUUCGUAGGGAUAUAAAAUCUAGCUGCAUCUUGCUUGAUGAAGAUUAUGAGGCAAAAAGCGCUGAAUUCGGUGUUACAAGGUUUGCUGGGAGACAUGGUUAUAUUGCUCCAGUUUGGUGUGCGUCUACAUGUCCGAGUUGGAUACUAAUAUAG